UUAAGUUCAGCGGGUAUCCCUACCUGAUCCGAGGUCAAUCAUUAGAAGUUGGGGGUUUUGGCGCGGUCCCUCUGGGUUCCAUAGCGAGAAAAGUUACUACGCUUAGAACCAGAGGGCACUGCCACUGAUUUUAAGAGCUGCUAGGUAGCAUGCUCCAACACCAAGCUAGGCUUGAGGGUUAUAAUGACGCUCGAACAGGC
Molecule: unclassified non-coding RNA, 200 nt
Filed under: Cistella sp.
Lineage: Eukaryota; Fungi; Ascomycota; Leotiomycetes; Helotiales
Description: partial internal transcribed spacer 2
Source: RNAcentral